Molecule: transfer RNA, 92 nt
Filed under: Gemmatimonadota bacterium
Lineage: Bacteria; Pseudomonadati; Gemmatimonadota
Description: Gemmatimonadetes bacterium (soil metagenome) tRNA-Sec
Rfam family: Selenocysteine transfer RNA
Source: RNAcentral
GGAGGGAUUGAGUCACUGGUGUGGCUUGCGGUCUUCAAAACCGUGGCGCGAGGCUGAGCCUUGCGGGUGGGUUCGAUUCCCGCAUCCUUCCG